CCCUUCGUGGUCCAGUGGCUAAGACUCUGCACUCCCAAUGCAGGGGUCCAGGUUCCAGCCCUGGACAGGGA
RNAcentral lists this transfer RNA (71 nucleotides) under Ovis aries (sheep). It matches the Rfam family "tRNA". From Rfam's summary of the family: Transfer RNA (tRNA) molecules are approximately 80 nucleotides in length. Their secondary structure includes four short double-helical elements and three loops (D, anti-codon, and T loops). The record is from Rfam by way of RNAcentral. Lineage: Eukaryota; Metazoa; Chordata; Mammalia; Artiodactyla; Bovidae.